AACAAAAAGGGUUAAUGACAUAAUUUCCAUGAAAACAUGUGUUCAUUCUUUGUAAACUGUUUAAAUUGUGUUUUCACUUGACCUUAGGAGUGUUAGAGUGUAUUGUAAUGUCUGUACUCAGGUGUUUCCCUCUGUGAUCCAUCCCCUUCAGAGCUGAGACACUCAGGACUGAACAGACUGCACAGUUUCUGUGACUGAGCCUCCAAAACACCUUCUUUGAAACCACUUAUGAUAGAAGGGCUUUAUAUUUGCAGCAGCACUACUACAGUUGGCAGGAAUGUUGCUGCAGGAAAACAUCCCUGGAGAUCACCAUCAUUGUCAGACUGACUGUGCCUCCUCUGUGCAGUGUCAAGAUCCUCCCUAAAUGAGUGUUUCUCAGCUAUCCUGCUUCUGUGCUGCUUGCCACACAUCAAACUCUGGCCGGAUGACAGGGAGGAUCCACUCUGAAGUCACUGGACAUGACGAGGAUCAUAUGGGACUUCAUAGUUUCACAGUAACAUUGUGCUCUGUGAUUACAGGUUUUAAAUGGAUACAAUGACUGCCUCUCUCUGAUCAACAGGCUAAAGGAUUGUUUUCAUUGUUAGUGCUCUGUACAAUGUAUGCUUAUUUAGUAUUUCAUCACAGAGCAAACCUUUAUUUAU
Molecule: non-coding RNA, 641 nt
Organism: Maylandia zebra (zebra mbuna)
Lineage: Eukaryota; Metazoa; Chordata; Actinopteri; Cichliformes; Cichlidae
Source: RefSeq, a predicted model, not a curated record